RNAcentral lists this ribosomal RNA (718 nucleotides) under Erysiphe alphitoides. RNAcentral's name for it is "eukaryotic LSU rRNA". It matches the Rfam family "Eukaryotic large subunit ribosomal RNA", at positions 1 to 731 of the family's 3401-position model. Lineage: Eukaryota; Fungi; Ascomycota; Leotiomycetes; Helotiales; Erysiphaceae. The record is from RNAcentral.
UUGACCUCGAAUCAGGUAGGAAUACCCGCUGAACUUAAGCAUAUCAAUAAGCGGAGGAAAAGAAACCAACCGGGAUUACCUCAGUAACGGCGAGUGAAGCGGUAACAGCUCAAAUUUGAAAUCUGGCUCUUCCGGAGUCCGAGUUGUAAUUUGUAGAAGAUGCUUUGGGUUGUGGGUUCGGCCUAAGUUCCUUGGAACAGGACGUCAUAGAGGGUGAGAAUCCCGUAUGUGGCCGAGGCCCGCGCCUAUGUAAAGCUCUUUCAACGAGUCGAGUUGUUUGGGAAUGCAGCUCAAAAUGGGUGGUAAAUUUCAUCUAAAGCUAAAUAUGGGCCAGAGACCGAUAGCGCACAAGUAGAGUGAUCGAAAGAUGAAAAGCACUUUGGAAAGAGAGUUAAACAGUACGUGAAAUUGUUGAAAGGGAAGCGCUUGCAACCAGACUUGGGCGCUGUCGAUCACCCCGAGUUCUCUCGAGUGCACUCGACAGCGCACAGGCCAGCAUCGGUUCGGGUGGCUGGAUAAAGGCCGUAGGAACGUGGCUCCCUUCGGGGAGUGUUAUAGCCUACGGUGCCAUGCAGCCCAGCCGGACCGAGGACCGCGCCUUCGGGCUAGGAUGCUGGCGUAAUGGUUGUAAGCGACCCGUCUUGAAACACGGACCAAGGAGUCUAACAUCUAUGCGAGUGUUUGGGUGGUAAACCCAUACGCGGAAUGAAAGUGAACG